UACUUAUUCAGUGUCGCUCCACACGACGGUCGUGGGUGGACUCCAGCUAGAAAGACGCACGACGGCCCAUCCGUGAGGCGCUCCUAGAACAGCCGGGAAGAAGUCAGACACCCGCGGAAGGAGAAGCAGAGGAGAAACAUGACCCUCUGGCCGUUCAGAACCACAGUCUCCUUCCACGACUGGAAGAGCCUCUCCACCUGCGAACAUUCGGCCCCACCCAGACUGCAGCGAGCGGCCAGGGUGUACGACGAAACCCGGUCACUCAGUAGCCCCGCCUCAGACUCCAAGUUGGAGCCAGGGCCCAGAAGCCGCCAUCGGGCGGCGUUCGCCCCGCCAGCGGGCAGCGGCCACGCGCAGGCGCAGCCGAGGCGCUGGCGGUGUUGCCGGUACCACCCGUGUCCAGGGGUGGCGCCAGAGGUCUCGGCGGAAACACUUCAGGCGGGACUUUGGACGUGGUCCGUGACCAGGCCUCGCCAAGUCCGGUUCUUCAAACCUACCAGCGAUCCGGAGAACCACGCGGUCUCAUUUGAUACAUCUUAGUUUAGCAAUUAAUACAUUAAUCAUCUCUGCUUAGAGGCUGGCUUUUAUGCUCGCAACUACAAACCACGACUGACUCAAGGGCUUAAAAUAUGGGGUGGAGUCUGGAAUUUCGGUACGUGCUAGGCAGAAGCAGUCCGCGAGACCGGCCCCAGAUACGAUCUCCCGGCAGUGACUCUCUGAUGAGCUUCCCCGGUAGGCGACGUUUCACAUGCACCGUGACAGCUUGCUGCUGGGGGAUUCAAGUCCAUCUUGGGUGACUCCACUGAGAGAGGCCCAUGGGACCUUGCGCCUGGUCCCCCUUAGACUUUGCCCCAGGUGCCUCUCCCUUUAUGACUUUGCUAUCACUUCACUAUAGUAAAUCACAGCCGUGAGCAGGACUGUGCCAGUGAAUCAUCACAAUGGGGUGUGUGUCGGAGACCUUGAUGCAGCCAAUGAGAGAGAAAGGAGAGAACGAUCGAUCGGUCAGGCUGGACACUCAUAUCAGGGAAGUCCUUUCGAUACGGGAAGACUGUCAACAUCUCGGACACGGCAAAAUAAGGA
This is a long non-coding RNA of Panthera uncia (snow leopard), 1080 nucleotides long. RefSeq lists it as uncharacterized. Lineage: Eukaryota; Metazoa; Chordata; Mammalia; Carnivora; Felidae. The record is from RefSeq and is a predicted model, not a curated record. The transcript is spliced from 2 exons.